GCACAACUCAAGCUGUGCAUGGCAUUUGCUUGGGAAUACAUUCUUGGAACGUAAUCUAUAUAACGUAACAUACUGUAUUGCUGCAGAAACCUUGUAUUAGGUUCUUCCCAAUGUUCUGGCAGUCUUUGUCACCUUUUGGGAAGUCAGAGCUGACCCUAGAGCUCUGAGCCUGUCAUUACAGGCUCCCUUUAAGGAUUUAACUAAGAUGUAGUGUGGAUGGGCAUUUUAUAAACUAGAAUCACUGGCUGAAAUUAGCACAGUGAGUAUGAAUCUCUGAUCUAAUUCACAGGGUAAAAAGCAGCAUAUUUAGAGAUGGGAAUAUAGACUGCAUAUUUCACAACCCCAAUGCCAAUAAGUCCUGAAGAACACAGACAUGCUUAUGGGUAUUUGGCUCGGAACAUUAUCAAUGUCCGUAAACUGCCCACUAAAUGGCCAUGUAACUUGCAGCAGCAAAUUUAAAAAAUAGCAAUUCAAACUAAGCUUUUCCCAUCUUGCAAUGGGCCUUACUAUAGGAAAUAAGUGAGGUAUUGACACUCUCCCAGCAGAGAUCCAUGUGUUAGUGACAAUACUGAUCUGUCCCAUAGUUCAGGUGGGAUCCAUUACACAUCCCUGUGCCUUCCUUUCUGCCCAAAGCAUCUUUCUACUCCACGAACUGGUUCUGUUAAACAGAAAAUCUAUCUGUUAAGCUUUUCUAAUAAGGAAUAGGUUGUCUUUCCUUGUUGGAGUAGAG
This is a non-coding RNA of Pelobates cultripes (western spadefoot toad), 730 nucleotides long. Lineage: Eukaryota; Metazoa; Chordata; Amphibia; Anura; Pelobatidae. The record is from the annotation of a GenBank genome assembly.